AUUGAACGCUGGCGGAAUGCUUUACACAUGCAAGUCGAACGGUAGAGGGGGCAACCCCUUGAGAGUGGCGAACGGGUGAGUAAUAUAUCGGAACGUGCCCAGUCGUGGGGAUAACGUAGCGAAAGUUACGCUAAUACCGCAUACGAUCUAAGGAUGAAAGCGGGGGAUCGCAAGACCUCGCGCGAUUGGAGCGGCCGAUAUCAGAUUAGGUAGUUGGUGAGGUAAAGGCUCACCAAGCCAACGAUCUGUAGCAGGUCUGAGAGGACGACCAGCCACACUGGAACUGAGACACGGUCCAGACUCCUACGGGAGGCAGCAGUGGGGAAUUUUGGACAAUGGACGCAAGUCUGAUCCAGCCAUUCCGCGUGCAGGAUGAAGGCCCUCGGGUUGUAAACUGCUUUUGUACGGAACGAAACGGUGAGCUCUAAUACAGUUUGCUAAUGACGGUACCGUAAGAAUAAGCACCGGCCUAACUACGUAGCCAGCAG
RNAcentral lists this ribosomal RNA (488 nucleotides) under uncultured bacterium. RNAcentral describes it as "bacterial SSU rRNA". It matches the Rfam family "Bacterial small subunit ribosomal RNA", at positions 30 to 514 of the family's 1533-position model. The record is from RNAcentral.